RNAcentral lists this ribosomal RNA (529 nucleotides) under uncultured bacterium. RNAcentral describes it as "bacterial SSU rRNA". It matches the Rfam family "Bacterial small subunit ribosomal RNA", at positions 776 to 1304 of the family's 1533-position model. The record is from RNAcentral.
CAAUAGAUACCCUGGUAGUCCAUGCCGUAAAACGAUGUCUACUAGCCGUUGGGGCCUUUGAGGCUUUAGUGGCGCAGCUAACGCGAUAAGUAGACCGCCUGGGGAGUACGGUCGCAAGACUAAAACUCAAAUGAAUUGACGGGGGCCCGCACAAGCGGUGGAGCAUGUGGUUUAAUUCGAUGCAACGCGAAGAACCUUACCUGGCCUUGACAUACUAAGAACUUUCCAGAGAUGGAUUGGUGCCUUCGGGAACUUAGAUACAGGUGCUGCAUGGCUGUCGUCAGCUCGUGUCGUGAGAUGUUGGGUUAAGUCCCGCAACGAGCGCAACCCUUUUCCUUACUUGCCAGCAUUUCGGAUGGGAACUUUAAGGAUACUGCCAGUGACAAACUGGAGGAAGGCGGGGACGACGUCAAGUCAUCAUGGCCCUUACGGCCAGGGCUACACACGUGCUACAAUGGUCGGUACAAAGGGUUGCUACUGCGCGAGCAGAUGCUAAUCUCAAAAAGCCGAUCGUAGUCCGGAUCGCAGU